UACGGGGGGGGCAAGCGUUGUCCGGAAUUAUUGGGCGUAAAGAGCUCGUAGGCGGUUUGUCGCGUCUGCUGUGAAAACCCGAGGCUCAACCUCGGGCCUGCAGUGGGUACGGGCAGACUAGAGUGCGGUAGGGGAGAUUGGAAUUCCUGGUGUAGCGGUGGAAUGCGCAGAUAUCAGGAGGAACACCAAUGGCGAAGGCAGAUCUCUGGGCCGUAACUGACGCUGAGGUGCGAAAGCUAGGGGAGCAAACGGG
Molecule: ribosomal RNA, 253 nt
Filed under: uncultured bacterium
Lineage: Bacteria
Description: partial 16S ribosomal RNA
Rfam family: Bacterial small subunit ribosomal RNA
Source: RNAcentral